This 329-nucleotide long non-coding RNA is filed under the name Mytilus galloprovincialis (Mediterranean mussel). Lineage: Eukaryota; Metazoa; Mollusca; Bivalvia; Mytilida; Mytilidae. The record is from RNAcentral.
UUUACUUACAGGGUCUUUGCAUCGGAAUUAAACACAUUUAUUCUAAAACCAGUUGUUGGCAUGACACGGGUUAUGUUCUUCUCAUAUAUUUCAUGAUGGUAUAAUACUAAACCCCUAACAGGAGGGAUUGUGCCUGAUAUUCAUAUGAUGAAGACAUAAUCUUUCAAUCAGUUUAAUCGAGGUCUGGAGCUGGCAUGUCAGUAACUGCUAGUACUCUUUUGUUAUUUAUGUAUUAUUGUCAUUUUGUUUAUUUUCUUUUGUUUCAUAUUUUGACAUCGGACUCGGACUUCUCUUAAACUGAGUUUUACUGUGCGUAUUGUUGUGCGUUU